This 252-nucleotide ribosomal RNA is filed under the name uncultured bacterium. RNAcentral describes it as "partial 16S ribosomal RNA". It matches the Rfam family "Bacterial small subunit ribosomal RNA", at positions 100 to 354 of the family's 1533-position model. The record is from RNAcentral.
CGGGGUGAGUAACGCGUGGAAAACCUGCCGUAUACUGGGGGAUAACACUUAGAAAUAGGUGCUAAUACCGCAUAAGCGCACAGCUUCGCAUGAAGCAGUGUGAAAAACUCCGGUGGUAUACGAUGGUUCCGCGUCUGAUUAGCUAGUUGGUGAGGUAAAAGCCCACCAAGGCGACGAUCAGUAGCCGGCCUGAGAGGGUGAACGGCCACAUUGGGACUGAGACACGGCCCAGACUCCUACGGAAGGCAGCAG